AUACGUAGGGGGCGAGCGUUAUCCGGAAUUACCGGGCGUAAAGGGUGCGUAGGCGGCCUUUUAAGUCAGAUGUGAAAGGCUACGGCUUAACCGUAGUUAGCAUUUGAAACUAAAGGCUUGAGUGCAGGAGAGGAGAGUGGAAUUCCUAGUGUAGCGGUGAAAUGCGUAGAUAUUAGGAGGAACACCAGUGGCGAAGGCGACUCUCUGGACUGCAACUGACGCUGAGGCACGAAAGCGUGGGGAGCGAACAGGAUUAGAUACCCUGGUAGUCCACGCCGUAAACGAUGAGUGCUAGGUGUUGGUGGGGACACCCAUCAGUGCCGCAGCUAACGCAUUAAGCACUCCGCCUGGGGAGUACGGUCGCAAGACUGAA
RNAcentral lists this ribosomal RNA (373 nucleotides) under uncultured bacterium. Its description in RNAcentral is "bacterial SSU rRNA". It matches the Rfam family "Bacterial small subunit ribosomal RNA", at positions 523 to 898 of the family's 1533-position model. The record is from RNAcentral.